This 376-nucleotide ribosomal RNA is filed under the name uncultured bacterium. RNAcentral's name for it is "bacterial SSU rRNA". It matches the Rfam family "Bacterial small subunit ribosomal RNA", at positions 30 to 412 of the family's 1533-position model. The record is from RNAcentral.
AUUGAACGCUGGCGGCAUGCUUUACACAUGCAAGUCGAACGGGCUGGGGGCAACUCCAGUCAGUGGCGAACGGGUGAGUAAUACAUCGGAACGUACCUCGUAGUGGGGGAUAACUCGGCGAAAGCCGUGCUAAUACCGCAUAUGCUCUACGGAGGAAAGCAGGGGACCGCAAGGCCUUGUGCUAUGGGAGCGGCCGAUGUCCGAUUAGCUAGUUGGUGAGGUAAUGGCUCACCAAGGCGACGAUCGGUAGCUGGUCUGAGAGGAUGAUCAGCCACACUGGGACUGAGACACGGCCCAGACUCCUACGGGAGGCAGCAGUGGGGAAUUUUGGACAAUGGGGGCAACCCUGAUCCAGCCACGCCGCGUGCGGGAAGAA